ACUGUGUGAGGAUCAGCAGUGAGCUGACAGUGCUGCGUACAGUUCUGAUAAAACUGCUGUCAUCAAGUUCAUUAAAUGUUCAGACACUGUCCUGAACACUGGAGCAGAUCUGUGUUCACCCACUUUGUGUUUUCAGCUCUGAGUGUGGAGGCGUGUGGGAGAAAUGAGGCCUCUGCUGGCGAUCGCUCUCAUCCUUCUUUUCCUAUGGCUUCUCAAGAAUCAGACGUCCAGUGACCCUCUUCAUGGAGACCCCUGUGAGGCUGUAUCCCUGAGUGAGGCAGUGAUGUCCUUCCUCUUGUCUCCUCUGUCUCUGUACUCCUGGUUGUCCUCCACGCUGCUCAGACUCGUCCUGUCUGUCCCAGCUCUGGUGGUCAGCUCCCUGCAGAACACAGUGCUGCUGCUCCUGGCCUGGCCUUGGUGCUUUGCCUUUGUCUGCAUCUCGGUGCUGCUGACGUGUCUCCACGUGGCCCUGUACCUGCUUCACCUGGCCCUGGUGGUUUGGGUCGGGGCCAUUUUGACCCUCACGCGACACAAAAUGGCUGAAAGUGACGCCGCAGACGAGAGAGUGUUGUACCAGCAGAAGAACCAGGGGAGGUGUCACACCAAAACCAGACUGAGGCUGUUCGGAGACACAGACGGGUCAGUGGCGGUCGUAGGCAGAGGCUGUUGCCGUGGCUGCAGGGCCUGUCCCCCGUGAUGUUGCACUGUAGUAGUACGGUGAUCCUGGGAAGAAACACAGACCCAAGUUUUAUUUACUAUGCUGAAGAGUUCAACAAAAACACAGAUUGCGGAAUAAGAGCAUUUAAGGAAGAACAGCGUGUGGAGAGUGAUUCAACUGGAGAGCUCAGCGAGACUGUGCUGGUCCUGCCAUACAGUGGAUGAUGGCAUAGCUUUUCUCCCUCAUUUACUACUUACUGUCUGGGGUGUACUCUUCCUCUUGUCUCCCCCUCCCACUUCUCCCUUCACCCCUUCCUCUUUACUUUUCUGCCUCUCGUCCUCUGGCCCGCCUGACUCUAACCCGCUCGUCACCCUUCACAUCAAAACAACAUUCUUCCCCAUCGCUUCUCCUCUUUUUAUUUUUUCCCCACUCUUUCUUUCUCCUCUCCUGAACCUUCACUCCUCCCGGGGGGAUCCCUCUCCCAUAGCUGACAGUCACAGACCCUGAUGCCCCCCCUCCCUCCCUCCAGCCUCCCCCCACCCGCUCCUCCUCUUUCCCUCUCGUUCUGUCGGUUCUGCCUCACUGCUCUCCUACACCCCCCCUGAGUGUCAGCCCCCCUGCUGCAGAGAGAGAGAGAGAGACGGAGACAGAGAGGGAGAAAAGACGAACAGCAGAAGAGAGUUGCUUGCUUAAUGAAGGUACCAUCCCAGUGAGGGAAGGCGUGGAGUAGCUGCCCUGUCCAGUGGGAGGAACGUGUGGAGGGUAGCCUGGCAGAGUGGUGCUGGCUAUGUCUCGACCUUAGGAACGAUUGCAUUUGGAGCCACAGAUGGACUUUGGGAUCUGAGAGAUGGAGUUUGUUGAUUCCCUCGCUGGCUCCAGCCUCCUCUGUCCCUCCUCGCCUCCUCUCUCCUGUCUCGGUGUAGUAAAGUUUUUCUCUGUGUUUGACGCGACAGCGAGGCAUUAGUGCAGACGGGCUACUCAUCCGCUCAGGGUCAGUGCACAGGGCAAGGAGGAGAGGAAGGAGAGGUUGGUAGAGAGGAGAGAUGGACUCUCUACAGCCCAACUUAGAGGGGGCAGACAGGGCCAGAUCCUCUGAGCCAUCAGAACAACACAUGUCAAACCUGGGGGGAUCGAGGGUGUACAGCGGUCUCUUUGUGUUUGCGAUCACAUUGACUGGAUGAACUUCAAGAGGGGAAAUUAAAAUUCCCUACCGAUAUGGAAAAGACCCCGGAAAGGAAAAUGGAGAAUGUGGAUUAAAUGCAGAUCUUCAGUGAGUGUCCAGAGUAUCAACCCAUCAAAGAUGCAAUAACAUAGCAUCAAAAACACUGACUUCUGAUCCCCUAGAGGGAGCUCUAUUCU
This is a non-coding RNA of Paralichthys olivaceus (Japanese flounder), 2017 nucleotides long. Lineage: Eukaryota; Metazoa; Chordata; Actinopteri; Pleuronectiformes; Paralichthyidae. The record is from RefSeq and is a predicted model, not a curated record.